CCCUUCUUUCCUCUUCCUCCAUCAUUUUUGCCCUUAGCCGACGCCACCACAGCAACACACGGGCGAGCCCUAGCGCCGGCUGCCCCUUUUGCACAGAGAGGUCGUAGCGUGGAGGACUGGUGGUGCGACAUUCUAGCCGCAAUUAGACUGAAGGUGAUUGGAGAGGCCGCACAGUGCUCUAGUUUCCCUUGCCAAAGCAAGACCAUCGUCCAGUUUACUGUCGCUGUUGAUCAGUGCUGUCAUCGUAAGGAGAAGGAGCAUCGCUUAAGGGAUUAGGCCAACCUUCCCUUUUCUGUGGAGUCGGGAAGAAUUUGCAGAUCUCACACAAGAGGAGUCCACGAUCUCUUCCUCUUCACUGCCCAGAGUCAGGGUGUUGGCGAUACAGACAGAACCUAGAGAGCAGUGAAAGGACCUUGACGCGAGACGAGUAUCUCGACGUCGUGUUCGGACCAGAUUUGACAUUUCCUAUUGGAGACGGGUACUUUUGACUUAUUGUCUUUGAUAUGCUUAGUAAUGAAAAUAAUAUGUUGCAUUAAUUGUGUUUCCUAUUUGUUUCGGUUAAUCACUGCCCAAUACAUGUUACCUGUUUGAUUAAUUGU
This is a long non-coding RNA of Zingiber officinale, 599 nucleotides long. RefSeq lists it as uncharacterized. The transcript is spliced from 3 exons. NCBI's taxonomy places the organism in Eukaryota, Viridiplantae, Streptophyta, Magnoliopsida, Zingiberales, Zingiberaceae. The record is from RefSeq and is a predicted model, not a curated record.